GCCCUCGUAGCUCAGUUGGAUAGAGCGGCGGUUUCCUAAACCGCAGGUCACAGGUUCGAAUCCUGUCGGGGGUA
This 74-nucleotide transfer RNA is filed under the name Phycisphaerales bacterium. RNAcentral describes it as "tRNA-Arg". It matches the Rfam family "tRNA". From Rfam's summary of the family: Transfer RNA (tRNA) molecules are approximately 80 nucleotides in length. Their secondary structure includes four short double-helical elements and three loops (D, anti-codon, and T loops). The record is from RNAcentral. Lineage: Bacteria; Pseudomonadati; Planctomycetota; Phycisphaerae; Phycisphaerales.